AUACAAGUGCCAUAAUUUUUAACUUAAUAUAAUUUAUUCAAUUUUUUGUAUCUAACAUUAAGUUUUAUUUAAUUUUUUUUUCUGUAUUUUAUUCUAAUAUGUUUUUAUUCAUUUCAUUGCCUUGUCAAAUUAAUUAAUUUAAAUAAAACAAAUGUAACUUGCUUUUGUGUACCACACUGAUUCUCUUUUUAUUUAUGCUACAAGAAAAACCACCCUCGAACACUAUGAACAUUUCCUUUCCAGUUCGAGUAAAUUCGAUCCACCCAAGCUUUUGAUGUCGUACAAGCCGAUCGUCAAAAAGUUAAACUGGCAACGAAAUUAUUUUCGCACACUGUUGCUAAGGCGCUAUAACUUCCAAGAUGGAAGUUGGGAAGAAUGCUACAGUUUGCUGAAAUAUACAAAUGAUUGCUUCGACGUAAUGAACGUUCGUUCACCAUACUCUGAUUCCAGAGAGAGGGUCCACGCUUAUGGACUUCAUUUAGAAUCACAAAACGUGAUCCUAAAUAAUAUGACUCAAAUGGUAAGAAACAUGCGGGUUAAUGGAAAGAAUUCUCUGCUUCCAUUCCAAAAAGGUAUUGUGCAAUCUAACACCGCCUUACAAAUGUUGCACAAAAAAAUGGAAGAUCGUUUUGGUGUGAAGUUUAUAAUAACAUACCGCUUGAACCAAGAUGUUUUGGAAAACUUUUUCGGUGUCAUUCGUUCCAAAAGAGGACUUCACGACCACCCUGAUCGCCAAGAAUUCAAAUACAGGCUGCGGUCAUAUAUUCUUAGACAUGUUAUAUAACUUUAAAAAAGUUAUAUUAUGGGAAUUCGCAAGGAUUAAUAUUUAAACAACUCUACUUGUUAACGUAUUGAAUGAGACUCACCUUGUCUUGUCAUUCCGAUCAUCGCGAGCCCAACUUCCUCAGUGGAUAAUCGUCGGCACGUUUAAGGAGUCAGCACAAUUCAAUUAUUGUCUUAUUGCACUUUGAUUGACCCAAAACAAUAUCCGAAUGGGCAAUCAAAGUGAACAUUACAAUUGAAGUGUGCUGAGUUCAACGCACAACGAUUUCCUCUGGUAGGUAUGGAAGAGGGCACAACAUCCCUCCCCACCCGGAGGAAGAACUCACCAUCAACCGGAUGACGAUCGACAAGAUUAAAUAACAAAUAUUUAUUUUGCAUUUUCUUAUAAUAUAACAUUUAAUUUCUUAUUAUCUAUAAAUUAUCUUUUUUGAAGUUAUACUUCUUUUGCGGCGUUGGGGCGAAAAUUUACUUUUUGACAAGAACUGUCAAAGGGAUUAGCAAGUAGCGCCAUUUCAACCCAGCGCGGUAAGAAAUAAAACUAUUGUAAGCAAUAGGUAUGUUUGGGUUCUUUUUAAACAAACAUAUAUUAGGUCUGUUUGGGUACUACCUAAAACAGAAAUAUUUUUACUUUUUUCGACUUUUUUUUAACCCAAUUCCUGUUUGGGUACUCUGUUAUUGUGCACUUUUUUCACAAAAAAGAUGGCCGCGAGAGAGAAAAUAAUUUCUGCUUCUUGCGAUUUUCUGCCCAAAAAAUUUUUUCGGACAAAAAACUGAAAUCUGUGAAAAGGUAGUGCUUUCUCUGUUUUACAUAUUCGGUCUUGUCGCACAACAUAAACAAAAAAAACUAUAAACAUGACGAUAUGCUUUUUUCUUGUGUUUUAAUUUUAAUUUAUUGCGUUACAGUGGCUUAGUGCUUAAAAUAUAUUAUAAAAUUCGAAGUAAAAAUUAUAAAAAAAAGUAUUUGACGAGUUUUGAUAUUUUUCGUUUUUUUUUUCUUUGUUUACUUUUUUGGAAGCAGAAAAGUUUGAACAAAAAGCGUUUGGGUUCUCUUGAACAAUUUUUCUUUCUCUGAGAGGAUUUCAUCCCCACUCCUUAAAAUUUGACAGAUUUCAUAUUUUUGUCCAAAAAGAACCCAAACAGACCUAUUAAGGAGUGGGUAUGAAAUCCUAAAAUUUUGUAAAAGUACCGAAACACUAGGUCUGUUUAGGUACUGCCUAAAACAGAAAUAUUUUUACUCAACUUUUUUUUUCUUUUUUUUUUUAUUGCGUUGC
This is a long non-coding RNA of Episyrphus balteatus (marmalade hoverfly), 2054 nucleotides long. RefSeq lists it as uncharacterized. The transcript is spliced from 3 exons. Lineage: Eukaryota; Metazoa; Arthropoda; Insecta; Diptera; Syrphidae. The record is from RefSeq and is a predicted model, not a curated record.